RNAcentral lists this ribosomal RNA (250 nucleotides) under uncultured bacterium. Its description in RNAcentral is "partial 16S ribosomal RNA". It matches the Rfam family "Bacterial small subunit ribosomal RNA", at positions 524 to 773 of the family's 1533-position model. The record is from RNAcentral.
UACGGAGGGUGCGAGCGUUGUCCGGAAUCACUGGGCGUAAAGGGCGCGUAGGCGGUCCGGUAAGCGUGUGGUGAAAGCCCGGGGCUCAACCCCGGGUCGGCCGUGCGAACUGCGGGACUGGAGCACUGUAGAGGCAGGCGGAAUUCCGGGUGUAGCGAUGGAAUGCGUAGAGAUCCGGAAGAACACCGGUGGCGAAGGCGGCCUGCUGGGCAGUAGCUGACGCUGAGGCGCGAAAGCGUGGGGAGCAAAC